Oncorhynchus tshawytscha (Chinook salmon) is the source of this 730-nucleotide long non-coding RNA. Lineage: Eukaryota; Metazoa; Chordata; Actinopteri; Salmoniformes; Salmonidae. The record is from Ensembl.
CUCAAAUGUCUGUGCAGUCUGUCACCCUGUUAGAUGUGCAGCAGAGAGUGUUGCUUACAGUUGACGAGGGCCAGAUUGUUGGUCACAGUGAAGUGACAGGGAAGGAUGUUAUGAGAUGUACGCUGUCAUCGUGUGACGAGCAUGUGUUGAGUGAUGUCUAGGCAGAGCAGAGCAGUCAAUGUCUCGUUCUGUUUGGCAUACCGUGUAUCGUCUCAUUUACGCUGAUUGUUGUGCACUGUAAAGGGAUACUAGGGGAGCUUCAGUUUCACAACUUUCAAGAUGAACGUUUACUGGAUACCCACAAUCCUCCUCUCCCUCUGCCUCUCCAGUGCUGCCAACAUGAUAAGCUCCCACAACUGUAAAGUAUCAACAAAUGUCACAUCAGGCAGGAUCCAUAGCACUACCAGAACAUUCUGAUAACUGGAACAAAAGCCAAAGGUGGACCAAUCAAAGGGUUGCAGAUCAUUCAAGAUUGUAAUGCGUGCAAAGCUGCAUGGUUUUUCAGUUCAGACAGAGUGUUCCCAGAGCGACUACAUGAGCACCAAACCCAGAGCUCCACUCAGGGGGCCCAGGAAGAAGCAGGGGGUCCAGCAUCCAAUCCGAAUGGGACGAUACUGACCACAGUCAUCCUCAGAUCACAAUCCUUCUCAUACAAACGCUAAACGAGAAUUGAGCCUUAAUUUGCCUUUGAGAGCUGACUGCUGAAACACACCAAGUUCUUUAUGUUAGC